UCGAAGGUAGCAUAAUCAGUAGUCUUUUAAUUGGAGGCUGGAAUGAAUGGUUGGACGAAAUAUUAACUGUUUCAUUAAAAUUUUUAUUAGAAUUUUAUUUUUUAGUAAAAAAGCUAAAAUUUAUUUAAAAGACGAGAAGACCCUAUAAAUCUUUAUAUUUAAUUUAUUAUAAUUUUUGAAGAAUUUUUUUUUUAUAAUAAUAAAUAAUAUUUUAUUGGGGUGAUAUUAAAAUUUGACAAACUUUUAAUUUUUUUAACAUUAGUUAAUGAUUAAUUGAUCCGUUAAUAACGAUUAAUAAAAUAAGUUACUUUAGGGAUAACAGCGUAAUUUUUUUGGAGAGUUCUUAUUGAUAAAAAAGAUUGCGACCUCGAUGUUGGAUUAA
RNAcentral lists this ribosomal RNA (382 nucleotides) under Dufouria chalybeata. RNAcentral describes it as "partial 16S ribosomal RNA". The record is from RNAcentral. Lineage: Eukaryota; Metazoa; Arthropoda; Insecta; Diptera; Tachinidae.